CGCACUAUAGAGUGCGACAUCGCAAAAAAGUUGACCAAGUUUGAAGAUUUGUAGCGCGCGACGAGCGAUUUACUGCGAUCCUAUCUAUAGAUGCGAUGUCGUUAUAAACAAAGAGGAUCUCUUUGGUUAUAAAUAAACGUGCAACGACAUCGAUCCGAGAGUGAUAUUGUCAUUAAAUUAUAAAAUUGCAAUAAAUGGUAAAUAUGCAAUAAAUGAUGUUAGGUUUCGUAAUCGCGCAUCGCGUUUAUAUGAAUAGGUAGAAAAUCCUAUUCUCGCGAUUCGUCGCAUAUCGCGUGUCGCGUCAUCGCGCUGGUGUUACUGAGACUGAGAGAGAGAGAGAGAGAGAGAGAGAGAGAGAGAGAUUGCGGUGGAACGAGUUAAACAGUAUUUAGAUCAUGUGCCGACUGAAAAUACAAUGGGCACUAAUCAACCUUACGCGUGGCCUAGUCAAAGUGUUGUGGAAUUAAAAAAGUUGUUUUGAUGUACAGGAACCAUUUAGUGCCAUCGUUGAAAGAGAUAACAUUCGUUACUCGACCAGCGGAAAAAAUAGACGUCGUUGGUCGCACCGGUGCUGGAAAAAGUUCGUUACUAGCUUCGUUGUUUAGACUGACAGAGAUCAGUUCUGGGAGUAUAUUAAUCGACAACGUGAAUAUUCAAACGUUACAACUGAACACAUUAAGAUCCCGUUUAGCAAUUAUACCUCAGAAUCCGUUUCUUUUCUCGGGUACUAAUCGAGAGAAUGUGGAUCCGUUGGAUCAGUAUACCUAUAUGCACAUAUAUACAAAACCUUCGAGAAAUGUAAAGUGCAUUCUUUAGUUCAUCGAAUGGAUGGUUUGGAUGCAGUCUUGGAUGAAGGUGGUAGUAAUCUCAGCACUGGGCAGAGACAAUUGUUCUGCUUAGUCAGAGCUGUGCUACACAAUGCGAAGAUUUUUGUUGUCCAUCUGUUAUGGUAGGAAAUUUAGGUAAUUUCCUUUCUGUUCGUAAUAAAGAAAGCUUACGUGAACUUAUCAUACAUGUUUCGGCAUCGUUUUCCGAUUCUGCACUCGAAGUAUCUUUGUUUGUACCUUAAUUAUUAUAUAUGUAUAUAUAUGUGUAAACCAAUUCUUGAAACUAAGG
Non-coding RNA from Nylanderia fulva, 1116 nucleotides. NCBI's taxonomy places the organism in Eukaryota, Metazoa, Arthropoda, Insecta, Hymenoptera, Formicidae. The record is from RefSeq and is a predicted model, not a curated record.